This 2817-nucleotide ribosomal RNA is filed under the name Escherichia coli. RNAcentral describes it as "partial 23S ribosomal RNA". It matches the Rfam family "Bacterial large subunit ribosomal RNA". The record is from RNAcentral. RNAcentral also lists the same sequence under 2 other names. Lineage: Bacteria; Pseudomonadati; Pseudomonadota; Gammaproteobacteria; Enterobacterales; Enterobacteriaceae.
GGUUAAGCGACUAAGCGUACACGGUGGAUGCCCUGGCAGUCAGAGGCGAUGAAGGACGUGCUAAUCUGCGAUAAGCGUCGGUAAGGUGAUAUGAACCGUUAUAACCGGCGAUUUCCGAAUGGGGAAACCCAGUGUGAUUCGUCACACUAUCAUUAACUGAAUCCAUAGGUUAAUGAGGCGAACCGGGGGAACUGAAACAUCUAAGUACCCCGAGGAAAAGAAAUCAACCGAGAUUCCCCCAGUAGCGGCGAGCGAACGGGGAGCAGCCCAGAGCCUGAAUCAGUGUGUGUGUUAGUGGAAGCGUCUGGAAAGGCGUGCGAUACAGGGUGACAGCCCCGUACACAAAAAUGCACAUAUUGUGAGCUCGAUGAGUAGGGCGGGACACGUGGUAUCCUGUCUGAAUAUGGGGGGACCAUCCUCCAAGGCUAAAUACUCCUGACUGACCGAUAGUGAACCAGUACCGUGAGGGAAAGGCGAAAAGAACCCCGGCGAGGGGAGUGAAAAAGAACCUGAAACCGUGUACGUACAAGCAGUGGGAGCACGCUUAGGCGUGUGACUGCGUACCUUUUGUAUAAUGGGUCAGCGACUUAUAUUCUGUAGCAAGGUUAACCGAAUAGGGGAGCCGAAGGGAAACCGAGUCUUAACUGGGCGUUAAGUUGCAGGGUAUAGACCCGAAACCCGGUGAUCUAGCCAUGGGCAGGUUGAAGGUUGGGUAACACUAACUGGAGGACCGAACCGACUAAUGUUGAAAAAUUAGCGGAUGACUUGUGGCUGGGGGUGAAAGGCCAAUCAAACCGGGAGAUAGCUGGUUCUCCCCGAAAGCUAUUUAGGUAGCGCCUCGUGAAUUCAUCUCCGGGGGUAGAGCACUGUUUCGGCAAGGGGGUCAUCCCGACUUACCAACCCGAUGCAAACUGCGAAUACCGGAGAAUGUUAUCACGGGAGACACACGGCGGGUGCUAACGUCCGUCGUGAAGAGGGAAACAACCCAGACCGCCAGCUAAGGUCCCAAAGUCAUGGUUAAGUGGGAAACGAUGUGGGAAGGCCCAGACAGCCAGGAUGUUGGCUUAGAAGCAGCCAUCAUUUAAAGAAAGCGUAAUAGCUCACUGGUCGAGUCGGCCUGCGCGGAAGAUGUAACGGGGCUAAACCAUGCACCGAAGCUGCGGCAGCGACACUAUGUGUUGUUGGGUAGGGGAGCGUUCUGUAAGCCUGUGAAGGUGUACUGUGAGGUAUGCUGGAGGUAUCAGAAGUGCGAAUGCUGACAUAAGUAACGAUAAAGCGGGUGAAAAGCCCGCUCGCCGGAAGACCAAGGGUUCCUGUCCAACGUUAAUCGGGGCAGGGUGAGUCGACUCCUAAGGCGAGGCCGAAAGGCGUAGUCGAUGGGAAACAGGUUAAUAUUCCUGUACUUGGUGUUACUGCGAAGGGGGGACGGAGAAGGCUAUGUUGGCCGGGCGACGGUUGUCCCGGUUUAAGCGUGUAGGCUGGUUUUCCAGGCAAAUCCGGAAAACUAAGGCUGAGGCGUGAUGACGAGGCACUACGGUGCUGAAGCAACAAAUGCCCUGCUUCCAGGAAAAGCCUCUAAGCAUCAGGUAACAUCAAAUCGUACCCCAAACCGACACAGGUGGUCAGGUAGAGAAUACCAAGGCGCUUGAGAGAACUCGGGUGAAGGAACUAGGCAAAAUGGUGCCGUAACUUCGGGAGAAGGCACGCUGAUAUGUAGGUGAAGUCCCUCGCGGAUGGAGCUGAAAUCAGUCGAAGAUACCAGCUGGCUGCAACUGUUUAUUAAAAACACAGCACUGUGCAAACACGAAAGUGGACGUAUACGGUGUGACGCCUGCCCGGUGCCGGAAGGUUAAUUGAUGGGGUCAGCGCAAGCGAAGCUCUUGAUCGAAGCCCCGGUAAACGGCGGCCGUAACUAUAACGGUCCUAAGGUAGCGAAAUUCCUUGUCGGGUAAGUUCCGACCUGCACGAAUGGCGUAAUGAUGGCCAGGCUGUCUCCACCCGAGACUCAGUGAAAUUGAACUCGCUGUGAAGAUGCAGUGUACCCGCGGCAAGACGGAAAGACCCCGUGAACCUUUACUAUAGCUUGACACUGAACAUUGAGCCUUGAUGUGUAGGAUAGGUGGGAGGCUUUGAAGUGUGGACGCCAGUCUGCAUGGAGCCGACCUUGAAAUACCACCCUUUAAUGUUUGAUGUUCUAACGUUGACCCGUAAUCCGGGUUGCGGACAGUGUCUGGUGGGUAGUUUGACUGGGGCGGUCUCCUCCUAAAGAGUAACGGAGGAGCACGAAGGUUGGCUAAUCCUGGUCGGACAUCAGGAGGUUAGUGCAAUGGCAUAAGCCAGCUUGACUGCGAGCGUGACGGCGCGAGCAGGUGCGAAAGCAGGUCAUAGUGAUCCGGUGGUUCUGAAUGGAAGGGCCAUCGCUCAACGGAUAAAAGGUACUCCGGGGAUAACAGGCUGAUACCGCCCAAGAGUUCAUAUCGACGGCGGUGUUUGGCACCUCGAUGUCGGCUCAUCACAUCCUGGGGCUGAAGUAGGUCCCAAGGGUAUGGCUGUUCGCCAUUUAAAGUGGUACGCGAGCUGGGUUUAGAACGUCGUGAGACAGUUCGGUCCCUAUCUGCCGUGGGCGCUGGAGAACUGAGGGGGGCUGCUCCUAGUACGAGAGGACCGGAGUGGACGCAUCACUGGUGUUCGGGUUGUCAUGCCAAUGGCACUGCCCGGUAGCUAAAUGCGGAAGAGAUAAGUGCUGAAAGCAUCUAAGCACGAAACUUGCCCCGAGAUGAGUUCUCCCUGACUCCUUGAGAGUCCUGAAGGAACGUU